AUUCCGGCGGCCUCACCGGAAAGUGGCAGGACUCCGGAAGUCCCGCCCCGAGCGCGAGUGUGGAGGAAGUGCCGCCCGGCGCAGGCGCGACUGGGUGACGUGUUUCCGUGGAAGGAGGGGGGCUGCCGCGAAGGACGCCGGGAAGCUCCAGGGCACGACUGGAGGGCACUGGUCCGUCCAGUCGGGCUUUGGAGACUGGUUGGUCCUCGCACUGAUUUUGGAGGUUCCACAGCUGAGCAGUGUUAUUUGUUGAUGGACAUUAAAGCUUGUUUUGCCAUGUUGUCUAUCAAAUGAGCAAGCUGAUGGCAGUGGUAGCAGCUGGAUUCCUUCUGUUCUCCAAUCAAGCUACAAUCGUUCGUGGAUGAUCACAGCUAGGAAGCAAGGGUUGCUGAUCAUAGGAAUUUAUUUUCUGUUACAUACUUCCUAUGCUGUUUUCCCUGGAGUGCUCUUCUCCGGGCCCUCAGAGCAGGUCCUGCUGCGUCCUCAGCCACCGCUGCCAUGUGGUCUUGUCAGCCUGGUGAGCGCACCCUGCCUCUCCCAUGUGCUUUCACAGAUUCUCCAUUUUUGCACCAUACAUGGCAUCCUUUAUCUUUUCUUUCAUUAACUUUUGCUCUUCCCUCAAUUUCUUCUUUUCAAUAUUUUCCCUCCUUUUCAAUCUGAUAACUAAAAUGUAGAGAUGAAGUUAUUGAGACGUGAGUAAGUGAGGAAUGAGAGUGGAGAAGAAAGGAUCAAGGGUGCAGCAUGGGAAAUGAAGGAACAAGCAGUGGGCUUCUUGAGAUGAUAAAUGUUAUUUAAUUUUAAUGUCAUUUCCCUUUUGUAUAUAAAAACUUUAUAAAUGCCUAAUUUUUAAAAAGAACAAGUAAAAGUCAUAAUCCAAUGUAACAAAAAGAUAUUGAAAAAAUAUUUUCUAUUAGGUAAUAAAAAGGGCUCCUGGGCCUUUUGGCUCUUUUGGGCUGUCCAUGUCUGGAAUUGUUAGAGGGAAUCCAGAGGUGGGUAUCAGUAUGACUUGAUCAGACAGAAACACAUGUGUUUCCUCUAGAAGUUUGUAACAGGUGUCCAAGAAUCUCAGAACUUUUAGAGAUCAGUGAGCAGGAGCAUUCAGGCCACCCCUUCACAGUGGGCAGGCACCCCUGGGGGUAGGGGCAUCUGUUCUGUGAUCCUGGACCUACCUCCACAGCAGACUGAGGCAAGAGAAAUAACUGCAUAACUGUGUCCUAAACGUGAGAACAGUCAUAGAAACAAUUAUAUUUAAGGGAAAGCUUUGUUCUGCAAAGUUUACUUCCUGGACUCUGUCCCAGGGUCCUUGGGAUCACCAUGCAUCAGGAAACAAGCAGCCACACAGCCAUCAGCCUUCCAGGAUAGAGGAGAAUGGCUGCUUCUGUGGGUACGGACACAGGUGUCCAUCUUUCCUACCAGGGAAUCCACUAUCUCCCACUUAUCUUUGCUUUUAAAAACUAAACCAUUAAAAAAUUGCUGGCCGAGCUUUCUUGUGACCUUGUACCCACUUAGACUAGCCCGUCACUACCUGAACGGAUGAACUUCCCCAGCUCCUUCUCGUUCUCUGGAAGCAGGUUGGUGGACUCAUCCUCAGAAACUUCCUCAUAUGGUAUCUCAAUGUUUUCAUAAAGCAUGGCAAGCUGCUGCUUCUCCUCAGCCUUUACCAGCCUACUGGAGAGGAACACAUGAGUUCAGGUGCGGUUUUCAUGAUGGAUCAUUGUCUUACUCGUGCACCAUCUUAACAGCAAAGGAGGUGGCUAGUGGGGAUGGAGGAGGAAGCCGACGAUUAAAUGAGACUGAUCAUGAGAAGACCUCAGAUUUCUGGGAUGACUGGCCAAAUUCUGGAGGAAGGAGUGAGUCUGAUAAUCUGAAAUUGUGGAUCAAAGCCAAGACUAGGAAUGAAUGAGGCACUCACAUUGGGUACAAAAUUUAAGGGGUUGGUAAAAACAAACAGAAAACCUACCAUCAAGACAAAUCAUAAUUCAAUGUAAUACAUUACGAAAUAAAAACUAAAGCCAAAAAUGUAUCAGAAACACAAUAACAACAUUUUGAAUAAAGACGGGUGGGGAUUAAAAGUCUUCCUUUUGCUGACGCUCCAUAACAUGGCUCAGCCCAGCACUGUCACUGGUUCUGUAUUGAAAAUGUUGAUAUUUUGGUCACUGUGGAUUUUUUUUGGCAUUAAUCUAAAUUUUAAAGGUACUGCCUUAAAAUAGUACUUAUCCUGCUUACUGAGUUUUUGAUACUCCCUUAAACUGAGGCUACUGAAGGGAAGUCACCCUUCCUGUGGUCCAGUCCUGGAGUGGAUCCGGGAGCCGCUGUCCCUGUUCACUGUGGACCAUGACCCAGGGUCCUGAUUUUUCCUGACAUUAUUGCCCUCCCAGUUCUGUGUGACUCGGGUCAUGAAAGUUAUUUUAAGGGGACCAUGAUGAGAAAGGUUGUGGGAGCAUCUAGAGCUUGCUAUGGAUGGCAAGGACUGGACUGGUAAACUUUACCAAAGUUGAUCAUGAUAUCCGGUAGAAUUAGGCCUUCACCUCAAGCACGGAGUCUAAGAGGUACCAAAACACCCAGGCACAAAGAUAGAUACUAACACAAUAUUUUCAAAAAUUGAAAUGAAUGACCCCCGAAAAACAUAAGCCAAAUAUUAAAAUCUUAAAUGAAGAUAGGAUCCCAA
Molecule: non-coding RNA, 2668 nt
Organism: Ictidomys tridecemlineatus (thirteen-lined ground squirrel)
Lineage: Eukaryota; Metazoa; Chordata; Mammalia; Rodentia; Sciuridae
Source: RefSeq, a predicted model, not a curated record